UGCAAGUCGAGCGAACAGACGAGGAGCUUACUCCUCUGACGUUAGCGGCGGACGGGUGAGUAACACGUGGAUAACCUACCUAUAAGACUGGGAUAACUUCGGGAAACCGGAGCUAAUACCGGAUAACAUGUUGAACCGCAUGGUUCAACAGUGAAAGACGGUCUUGCUGUCACUUAUAGAUGGAUCCGCGUCGCAUUAGCUAGUUGGUAAGGUAACGGCUUACCAAGGCAACAAUGCGUAGCCGACCUGAGAGGGUGAUCGGCCACACUGGAACUGAGACACGGUCCAGACUCCUACGGGAGGCAGCAGUAGGGAAUCUUCCGCAAUGGGCGAAAGCCUGACGGAGCAACGCCGCGUGAGUGAAGAAGGUCUUCGGAUCGUAAAACUCUGUUAUUAGGGAAGAACAAAUGUGUAAGUAACUAUGCACGUCUUGACGGUACCUAAUCAGGAAGCCACGGCUAACUACGUGCCAGCAGCCGCGGUAAUACGUAGGUGGCAAGCGUUAUCCGGAAUUAUUGGGCGUAAAGCGCGCGUAGGCGGUUUUUUAAGUCUGAUGUGAAAGCCCACGGCUCAACCGUGGAGGGUCAUUGGAAACUGGAAAACUUGAGUGCAGAAGAGGAAAGUGGAAUUCCAUGUGUAGCGGUGAAAUGCGCAGAGAUAUGGAGGAACACCAGUGGCGAAGGCGACUUUCNUGGUCUGUAACUGACGCUGAUGUGCGAAAGCGUGG
This 727-nucleotide ribosomal RNA is filed under the name uncultured Staphylococcus sp. RNAcentral describes it as "bacterial SSU rRNA". It matches the Rfam family "Bacterial small subunit ribosomal RNA", at positions 56 to 764 of the family's 1533-position model. Lineage: Bacteria; Bacillati; Bacillota; Bacilli; Caryophanales; Staphylococcaceae. The record is from RNAcentral.